RNAcentral lists this long non-coding RNA (3447 nucleotides) under Brassica napus (rape). RNAcentral's name for it is "long non-coding RNA (BNAP_LNC001332)". The record is from RNAcentral. Lineage: Eukaryota; Viridiplantae; Streptophyta; Magnoliopsida; Brassicales; Brassicaceae.
ACUUCAAAAGGUGCUAUUAUUGACAAUUGCCCAAAAUAAAAUCGGAUAAUUUAGUUAUUGUAUGAUAUACUUACCAUAAAGGAAAAAUAUAUCAAGAUCUGCAGUUGGAGAUGGAUAAUUCGAAGAAAAAUAAAUAAAGAAAUUUAAAAAUAAUUUCAGUUACAAAAAAAAAAAAUGUAAAAGCCAAAUGUGCCUUUUCAACUCUGGCUCUAAAAUGAAGCCAACGUGGCUCAGAGCUGUGCUGUAUUGACACAACGCAAGCAAGUAUAUGUUCUGUCUCCACGUGACAUCCAUCAUUGUGACUGUGCGUGCCUUUGCAACUCUGGUAUUUUUGUGUUUACGUAUAAUUGGUUUUGUCCUUAAUUUUGGUUUACAAGUUCCAUGUGAGAGUGUACAAGUUCCAGCUGAACAAACUAAGUUUCUUUACGUUUCCUCCUAAGACAUCACCGGUUAUGAGGUCCUGGUUUAGUGGUAACUGGGUCAUCAUAUUAAGAGAGAAAUUAUACAUUUUUAAUCAUAACUUCCAUUCAGUUAUGGUCUCAACGUAAGCAUGAGAAGAGUUAAGUAGAAGAAACAUGAAUAGAAAAUGGAAGAAAUAUAUCACAUAAACAUUUUUGUUCAGCAGAUAAUAUAAUAGAAUUUUGAUUAUGAGGUCCGGGUGAGUCUUCAAUUUGUUGGAAUCAGCAUAGUAGAAUUAAUCGAACAUAUUCAUUGCCCAGUUUCAUCUGAUUUCAAACUUAAGGUCAAGAGAGAAUAGAAGUCAUACACUUGGAUUCAUUAUCAAUCAAAAGCUAAAAUGACGGGAACAUCCAACAAAACCCACCCAUGAGGGGGCGGGCCUUACAUGAAACUUGGGGCAACGGGGCCCUUUGAGAUGCCAAGACGAACUUCCAUCCCGUGGUGGAAGUCUACGGGCUUGAAUAUCUCCGAGUCACGAGGAUCUGCAAGGGAUACAAACAAACACAAGUUUCAGACAAUCUGAUAUCCAAUUUUAAAACCAAUGCCACGUUUAGACCCCUUUCAUUACUUAAUCUGACCAAUCAAUAAUGGCAUCUUGCGAGUAUCAAAGUAUAGAUUUUCAUCUAAUAGUGUUCUGUUAGUGCAUAAUGAGAUACCAUCAAAUAGGAUAUCUACUGAUCUAGAGAAGUGAAUGUAGCGUUGAGAAACAUGCAAUGCAAUAGGAUAGGAGUAAAGGACAAAUACCAUUCAAGUAAUCCUCAAAACCAAAGUUAUCAAUGGCUCCUGUGUAGACUUCUAACCCGAGCAUUGACGAUGGAAUUGGCCCAGGAGGUCUUUGAAACCUAACAGAGAGAAAAAUAAGGAUAGAAUGAGAAAAGUGCAAUCAAACAUUGUUCUUCCGACACAAGCAGAUCAUACAGCAAAGAGUUAACACCUUAUCUAACUUUAAACCAAAAACUAGCUUCCCAAUGGUCACACACAUAACAGAAUCUUUAUGUACAAACUAUUAGCAAUCUGAUCUAGUCAUAGAGAGACCUAUCAGUGUUCUAGUAUGUUACCGUGAGAGAAUUUGCCUGUCCAUAUCCAUCUUCAAAGGAAGUGCAGACCCGUAGGUGUGCCCAAUGAUCGUCCUCUUCGUCGCCUCGUGCGAUCUCUUUCCUUUCUUUCUUUCCCUGAAACCCAAAACAAAGUAACUGUUGAUCCACAAAAGAACCCUAAUUUUGCAGCCAUUGAGAGCUCUAGUGAGAUUGAAACAGCAAACAUGAGAAGAAGUAAGCUAAUCGAGCACACUUUUAAGUUCCUUUCUUAGCUAAUCUCCCGAGAGACAAACAGAUUUGAUUCGAUAAACUCGAUUUAGGGGGGGAAAGAUUACAGAUUCGUAAGAGGAUUCGAGUGGGUGAGAUCCGACGAUGUCGCUCUUCACGCCGUUGAGACCGAAUCGAAGAGUGUCUCUCUUGACACCGCCGAUCUCAUGAGCUAUCUUCUUCGGAGACUCCAUUGUUUUUCUUCCGCCGAUCUUUCUUCGUCUAGCUUCCUCUGCGGGCAAGCAAGACUGUCUUAUAAUGGGCUCUCUCUCUUCAAUUAGGGAGCCGGACUCUUGGCCCACUAAUUUUGUAUUUUGGCCCAAAAGAGAGAGAGAGAUAACUCUUGUUCAGUUUCUUUUUUGAAACACAACUCUGGUUCAAUUUUUUUCUUUUUUAUCAACAUUAUCCAUGAGUUAAAGAGUACACAGGGCCGGGCCUGAGCACAAGCUCAUCAAACAUUAGCUUGAGGACCGAUAGUGUUAAAAAUAAUUUAGGAACCAAUUACAUCAAAUGUCUGACAGUUCAGAUGGCAAAAUUUGGUUGUUAAUUGUCUUAGGAUGUCGAGUUCGAAACGCAUAUACAGCAAAUCCGCAAUGAUUUUUUAUCGAAAGAAUUGUUGUAUGGCCAAAUAAAUUUUAGUUGCUUCUGGGCCUACAUAUGUCAGGCCCGGCCCUGAGUACACACAGUAUACAUCAAUCCAUACGUGUUCACCAUAUAAUACAAAAAAUACACGUGUUAAAAAAGAGGCAUGCAACUCAAUUCCCAAGCUUCACCGGCGGCAAUCUUCUCUUUUCCGGCAGCUUUUCGACUAACCAGUCACCGGUCUAAGCUUUCUUCUCUUUCUCAACACCUUGAUUGAACCAUGACUUGUACUCUUUUAACUCUCUCUUUCGCCAUAACCGCUACUAUAAAAUGAAACUCUAGCCAUCUCUGGUGAUUUAUCACAGGGAAGGACCCGAUCAGAUUUGAGGAGACCCUUUGUUAGACUAUCUUCAACGCUGGAAGGUACCAACUCUGCUGAAUCUCUCUAACAAUGAUCGAAGUCAAACCAACAUCUUCAUCUCCCUUUUCAUCAGGGAUACUAACCCAAAGCCAAAGACUUAAACUUCAAAGGGGUAAGAUUUAGACCCAUAGAAAAGAGAUCUGAAGUUAACCCAAGAGGUAGAGAUCUCAAGAUACAGCAUACGGGAUGAGAAUGAAUUACGAAGGAUGGAUUAAAAUCCGGACUUAGCCGGAAGAAAGACUUUAUUUAGGUUCACCCAAGUUAGAAAAGGAUGGGACUGAUAAUCAGCUCUGAACUUAGUUGAACUUUUCAUCCCAAAAUCGUCAACACGACAAAAGAAAUCGCCAAUGCGAAUAGGAAAUCGCCAACGCGAAAUUGAUCAUAGAUAAAAGCUAUUCACAACCAAAAACAAAAGAAAAGGAUGGUAACCAGCGGCAAGAGCCACCGGCUACCGCUUUCAACUAUAAUUAAGAAACCUGUUUUAGAGAGAAGUGGGAGAGAACUCGGAAGAGAACUUUUUUGAUUUAACUCUGGUUCAAUUAAUAUCUCAGUUUUCGUCUUUCAUAAAGAAGCAAAAUCUCUUUCUUUGGUAAGAGCAAUCCCCACUGUCCAUUGGACAUGCGCUAAACAUUUCAUAUUUUUAUUACAUAUUUUGAACAUUACCAUUUCUAAAAAAUGAAG